GGCCGUGGGAGCGCCUGAGGGGCAGGAGCCCAGUGUUUUUAGCCUUCGAAGGACCAUGGUGUUUCCACGUCAUCGUGUUGUGGCGCUCCCGGCUCUGGCAGUACCGUAGUUUUCCUCUCUUCUGCCUGCGGUGACCGUUGGGCUGGGGGGUGCCCCGAGGCCUCCCUGGCCCCCUCACGCCGGCAGAAUGGCCUCAGCCCGAGGGGGCAAGCAGUCUUCUCCCCGGGUGGGGACCACCCGCUACACAGAGACGUCCACAGUCCGCGUGGAGACCUCGUCCCACCGCGUGGAGACGUCGUCCCGGCGGGUGGAGACCUCCCAGCGCCGCAGCGAGGGGCCCUCCCUCUCCCCCUUGGGGAAGCGGCUCCCUGGCAUCCACGAGGCGUCCUCCCGGCACGUGGAAUCCUCCUCGCAGCGCACGGAAACGACCUCCCGCCACAUCAGGGCCUCGUCCCUGAGGGUGGAGACGGCUCUGCACUUCGCGGAGAGCCCAGCCCCGCGGGCCAAGCCGGCCGCCCGCCAGAACGAAAAACCGGCCCGAUGAGAUGCUGCUUCCCAAAGGCCACCAAGGGGCCAGGGCCCUCAGCCAGGACAGAAAGGCCUCCAGUUGCCAGCCAGCCAGCCAGCUGCCAGGUGGACCAAUCAUUUUCGGUUUCAUGGAAACAAACCAUAAAUCAAUGUAAGAAACAGCCAAGCCGCAGUUUCUGAACACAGCCAACGUUUAUUGACCAUCCGGCGUCUUGGACCAGCCUACUUUUGACCCAGUGAACUAUUUUCACUUGAAGCCAGCACAAAAGAUUUUCAUGCCCAGGAUGCUGUCUAAAUCGGCUUGAUGGACAAAGAGGCUGUUUGAGCCUCUGAGCCAGGAGACAGAAGUCAAGGUGAAAGAACCGGAGUACCUGGGGCCGCUGCUGUUUGUGAAACUGCGCAAACGGCCCCUCCUUCAGGACGACGCCUGGUUCUGCAGCUGGAUCUCCGUGCAGGGCCCCGGAGCCGGGGACGAGGCCGCACUGUGGGCGAAGACCCUCAGGGCCUGUUCCAGAAACACCGGGAAGAGGAGCUGGAAGAGAGAAGGAAGCUGUACCGGUGAGCCCUUCUCCCCUGGCCCCACCUGAGCUGCUGAUGCUUCCAGCCCCCAGGCCUUAUUUCCUUCCCGCCCCACAGGUGGGGAAACUGGAAGGAUGGGUUAAUUCUGACUGGCUGGGACGAAACUAAGUGACCUCCCUGUGGAUGAGCGAUUUCUGGAAUACAAGAGAGUUGACUUUGAGGUUUCACUGGCUAAGGGGACUCUUACCCCCAGAUCCCACCCAACCCAGAGGAACUGAAAGAAGCAGGGUGUGGAGACCAGAGACUGGGGUCCCUCUGGUAGGCUGGUGUCAAGGGGGCAUGGUUGGUGGGGUUGGAAGGACCAAGAGCUCAGAUCCCACAACUUGCUAAACAACUGCCUUCCCCAGAGCGCGUGCGGGACUCCUGGAAGGAAGAUGCCUUAUUUGGGUACCAGUUUCUUAAUGGCACCAACCCCAUGGUGCUGAGGCGCUCUGCUCACCUUCCUGCCCGCCUUGUGUUCCCUCCAGGCAUGGAGGAACUGCAGGCCCAGCUGGAGAAGGAGCUAAAGGGAGGCACACUGUUUGAAGCUGACUUCUCCCUGCUGGAUGGGAUCAAGGCCAACAUUAUUCUCUGUAGCCAGCAGCACAUGGCUGCCCCUCUGGUCAUGCUGAAACUGCAACCUGAUGGGAAACUCUUGCCCAUGGUCAUCCAGGGACUGAAAGGGGAAGUGGAGGCUGGAGGAGGCACCAGAAGAGCAGUUUCUGCAGAAUGCUGGAGGCAAAGCAGCUUGCAGGGUGCUAAUGCACCGAGCGGGUAGGAAGGGGAGGGGAGGAAAUGGGAGCUGUAGGGAGCCGCAGCAGUGAGAUGGGGAAAGCAAAACACGUUUGGAGGAUGAACGGCAAGGUUAACAUGCAAGGGGGGGCGGGAAUCGCUGCGUGCCCCGCACUCAUGCCUUCUCUCCCCACACCUUGUCCCUGCUCCAGCUCCAACUGCCAGCACAGGAUCCCCACCAUCUCCCCUUUUCUUGCCCAUAGAUCUUCCAAUGGUCUGGCUUCUAGCCAGAUGCUGGGUCCUCAGCUCUGGCUUCCAGCUCCAUGAGCUGCAGUCUCAUCUUCUGAGGGGAUGCUUGAUGGCUGAGGUCAUUGCUGUGGCCACCAUGAGGUGCCUGCCAUCGAUACAUCCUAUCUUCAAGGUAACACCUUAUCCCCUUCUCUCCUGUAUUCAGCUGAAUACUUGAUUUCUCUAGAGUUCUCUUUCUGUACAACACCCUCAAUUUCAGCAUACUGCCCUGUGUAUUCUGGCUGUAUUGGCCUCCCAGUACUGCCAGCUCUGUCUCCUUAACUCAGGAAGAUUAUAGGACUUUGCCAGGGUUGCUCCUCCCUACUCUGCAGCUGGAAAGCUUUCUCCAGGCAGUAAGCUGGGGCAAUUAUGGGGCCCGCUUUUGUCUGUUUCUUCAGUUACUUCAGGCAAGAGGGUAAAUCCAGCUCCUUACUUCAGUCCAGCUGGAGGUCUCCUCAUUAUUUUAUAUACAUUUUGUGGAAGAUUAACUUUACAAUUUAGUUUUUAGAUAACAAUAUUCAGACAGGACGGCAACUCCAUUUAUGGACUAAUUAUCAUAGCUCAGAGAUGAAUAUUACUACUUUCUUCCAGAGAUGGAUGCAGUGACUUUUGCGACUUUGUGUGUCUCUUUUCUCAAGGAGAGACGAAUAGCAUCUUCAUUUCUAUGAAGAAUAGUUGCAUUGUGUUAGAUAGAAAAGAACAUUUUAUUUUAUUUUAUUUUAGAAACAGUCUCACUCUCUCAUCCAGGCUGGAGUGCAGUGGCACGAC
Non-coding RNA from Chlorocebus sabaeus (green monkey), 2874 nucleotides. Lineage: Eukaryota; Metazoa; Chordata; Mammalia; Primates; Cercopithecidae. The record is from RefSeq and is a predicted model, not a curated record.